GCGCCCGUGGUUGGCACGGUUCGGCCUUCUAAGCCGAAUGUCGUAGGUUCGAGUCCUACCAGGCGCG
This 67-nucleotide transfer RNA is filed under the name Gemmatimonadota bacterium. RNAcentral's name for it is "Gemmatimonadetes bacterium (marine metagenome) tRNA-Ser". It matches the Rfam family "tRNA". Rfam says of the family: Transfer RNA (tRNA) molecules are approximately 80 nucleotides in length. Their secondary structure includes four short double-helical elements and three loops (D, anti-codon, and T loops). Further hydrogen bonds mediate the characteristic L-shaped molecular structure. tRNAs have two regions of fundamental functional importance: the anti-codon, which is responsible for specific mRNA codon recognition, and the 3' end, to which the tRNAs corresponding amino acid is attached (by aminoacyl-tRNA synthetases). tRNAs cope with the degeneracy of the genetic code in two manners: having more than one tRNA (with a specific anti-codon) for a particular amino acid; and 'wobble' base-pairing, i.e. permitting non-standard base-pairing at the 3rd anti-codon position. Lineage: Bacteria; Pseudomonadati; Gemmatimonadota. The record is from RNAcentral.